Stegodyphus mimosarum is the source of this 73-nucleotide non-coding RNA. The record is from Rfam. Lineage: Eukaryota; Metazoa; Arthropoda; Arachnida; Araneae; Eresidae.
GCCUUCGUGGUGUAAUGGUCAGCACACUGAGCCGGUAAUUCAGAGGUCCGCGGUUCGAUCCCCGGCGAAGGCA